Molecule: long non-coding RNA, 9495 nt
Filed under: Homo sapiens (human)
Lineage: Eukaryota; Metazoa; Chordata; Mammalia; Primates; Hominidae
Description: HSALNT0281843
Rfam family: Metazoan signal recognition particle RNA (bases 2031-2332)
Source: RNAcentral
AUUAACAAACAAAUGAUCCUCAGUCACAAAAUUAUAACUUGAGCUCCCUUAAAAAAAAAAUUUCAGUGGAGAAUCACAGCUGGUAAUGUACUGCGAGUUCUUGAAGCUACACAAGGUAUAGUCUGGCUAAGUUACAUGUGGUUUCCAUAUUAGCUUGUUUGGCAGGGUGACCUACUGCAAAGCAGGCUCAGUUACCCCACCAGUCAACCCCCUGGGAGUUAUAAUUUCCUCCAUAUCCAUCACUGUUGUAAAAGCCUCCAUAGCCACCUAAUGAGAGAUUUAAAAAGAGAGAGAAAUUAAUGAAGUUAUCCAUCAUUAAAUACAAUCCUUCCCUUACGUAAUUUGCCAUCAAGUUUCUAUAGUGCUGAACUUAAAUUGUUUAAUUAGGCUUUGAAAAAGAUGACUAAAAGGAAAAAAACCCUUCCCAAAGCUAUGAAGUUACAGAUUAACACUACCUCCACCAAAUCCUCUGCUGCUACCGUGGCCACCUCCGCCACUGCGGCUGCUGCUUGCGCGGCUGCUGCUGAAGCUGGAACUGCUGGCACCGCUACUUUGUCGGUAGUCUCUGGCACCAAACCCUCCACUAAAUCUGCUACUAUAAGAAAAAAAUUAUGUUGGUUCACAUGAAGAUGAAAUUCCACUAAAGUAACCUAACUCUUUCCUAAUGACCAAUUUCUAAUUUUUCCAUUCAAACAAUUCCCCAUCCAGCCAUAUUUUCCCCAACAGAGUGUCACCCAUUCUAAUACAACCCCUUACCAAAGAAUCUAGGAAGCCUAAGAUGAUUAAGCUUUUUAAAUACUGUACAGUUAACCUUGGACGUUAUGCAUGCAGAGGAAACACUAUGAACUGUAAGUGAACACCCAUUCCCCUCAUUAUAUACUAUUUAUACCUCACCUCUUAGAACGUCCACGACUGCUACCCUUGUAGUGGUGUUCAUAAGCCAUGUUUUCUAACCAAGACGGCACUUCUUGUUUAGCUUCAACAAGAAGAUCCAACAAAUCCUUAGUAAUAUUUAUGUUCCUCUCGUUAAAGAAUGAGGUUGCCAGGCCUAAAAGAGUUCCCAAAAAAGUAUAUAAACAAAGGUCUUCCAUAAAGUAACUUGCUACUAUUCUUACUUUCCUACGUAGAAAUAUUUAAAAUAUUACCACGUAAUAUUUAAACAAGUGCUUUGAGCAAAAUCUUUGUCACUUUCAUUGUUAAAAAUGUAUUUUAGAUCCUAGCAAGUUCUUUCCUGCACACAUCACAGCAAAAAACAAUGAAACCAUCAAGUAAUCAAAUACUUACCAAGGUUUCCUACACGUCCCGUACGACCAAUACGAUGUACAUAUUCUUCAAUAUCACUUGGCAAGUCAAAAUUGAUAACAUGUUUCACAUUUGAAAUGUCCAGUCCUCUUGCUGCUACCUGGAAAAUAACUUUUAUGAGAUAUGGCCCACUUAAAAGAAAACAAAUACUUGAACAUGCUCAAUUUGAAUAAAAGAAAGAUGUUUAUACAUACUGCUGUAGCCACUAAAAUUGGGCUUUUUCCUGAGCGGAACUGGUGAAGGGCCUCUUCUCUAUCCCUCUGAGAACGGUCUCCAUGGAUGCUGGUACAUGCGUAUCCUUCAUGGUAUAAGAAAUCCUCCAGAGAAUCUGCACCCUUUUUGGUCUCCACAAACACUAAGGUCAGUGAAUCCUUGCCUGUCGUUGAAAAAUUAUAGGUUUUUGUCACUAACAUGGCUUAGUUCUCUUUGCACUUAUGUAUGCACAAUUUUAAUGUGUCAAUUAAAAUACAUAUAUAUCUUCUUAAAAACGGGCUUUCAACACAGCAUGUUUUGAAUUGAGGAGGAAAAGUAAUAAAGGUAAUCCAAAUACAUUUAAGAGAUGGGGGUCUCACUAAAUUGCCCAGGCUGAGAGUGCACUGGCCAUUCGCAGGUGCAAUCAUGGCAUACUACAGCCUCAGCCUGCCAAGUAGCUGGGACUACAUGCACUGUACCACUGCACCCAGCCCAAAUGGGUUAUUACCAGAGCAAUUAAAUUAUUCAUAAUUUUAGCUGGGUGCAGUGGUGAGUGCCUGUAGUCCCAGCUACUCUGGAGACUGAGGCAGGAGGAUUGUCUAAGUCUAGGAGUUCUGGGCUGUAGUGUACUAUGCCUAUCAGGUGUCCACACUAAGUUUGGCAUCAACAUGGUAACCUCCCGGAAGCAAGGGAGCACCAGGUUGCCUAAGGAGGGGUGAACAGGCCCAGGUCAGAAACAGAGCAGGUCAAAUACUCCCAUGCUGAUCAGUAAUGAGAUCACACCUGUGAAUAACCCCUGCACUCCAGCCUGGGCAACAAAGAGAAACCCCCAUGUCUAAUAAAAUAAAAAAUUCAUAAUGUUACCUGUUGCAUUUAGGAGGUCAAGCAGAAAUGACCGUUUGUCUGAUUCUUCCACCCAAACUACUUUCUGUGUGAUGUUUUCAGAGGUAGAGCCAACUCUUCCUACAGCCAAGAAGAUAUAUUCAUCUAAGAAAUCACGAGCCAGCAUCUGAAAGAAAAAAAAUUUUUAUUAUUACCUGAGAUAAACAAAUUUCUAAAUAAAUAAAAUUUGCAACAUCAAACAGUACCUGUAUUUCCUUAGGAAAAGUAGCACUAAACAUCAUAGUGUGGCGGACACCCUUUGGAGGCAUAGUAUCUUGUUCGACUAUUCUACGAAUCUGAGGCUCAAACCCCAUAUCCAACAUCCGAUCAGCUUCAUCUAACACCAAGUAUCUGUCAUGUCAUGAAAAAAAACAAGCCUGAGUUUAGAAUUUGAGGAGAAAUCAACAUGGUUUUAGUAUGGCUGUUAGUAUAAUUACAAAUACAAUUGUAUAGGUUAUUACAAUUAUAUAUUCAUUAAGAUGGUGCCUCACACUGCAUAAUUUUACAGACACAGCACAGGAUUCUUGCCACUACAUAAGUCAUUCAAGAUUACACAGUCAAAUUAGCCCAUCCUAGUUGACUGUCCCACGAGCUGAUCAUUGUUGUAAGUCUCAACCAAGAUGUUACUGAUUUUUCAACAUUAAAAUUACCAUGAACAAGCUUUUUGUGAAAGUUAGAUGUCUGAAAUACAUCACUUCUCAGCCUUAACAUUUAGACAAUGUUAACAUCACCACAAAACUAAUGGGCAGUAACUUUAAUACUGCAUCCCAUACAUUUAAAAAUUAACAUACUUGGCCGGGUGCGAUGGCUCACACCUGUAAUCCCAGCACUUUGGGAGGCCAAGGCAGGCGGAUCACCUGAGGUCAGGAGUUCGAGACCAGCCUGACCAACAUGGAGAAACCCCGCCUCUACUAAAAAUACAAAAAUUAGCCCAGCGUGGUGGCACAUGCCUGUAAUCCCAGCUACCUGGGAGGCUGAGGCAGGAGAAUCGCUUGAACCCGGGAGGCAGAGGUUGUGGUGAGCCGAGAUCGCGCCAUGGCACUCCAGCCUGGGCAACAAGAGCGCAACUCUGCCAAAAACAAAAGAACAAAACAAAACAAAACAAAAAAACAAAAACAAAAUAAAACAUACUUGCAAAAGUCUAAUCCAAUCUUUCCUCUUUCCAUCAUAUCCACUAGACGUCCUGGAGUGGCUACUAACAAAUGGCAUCCACGUUCCAAGUCUCGAAUCUGCUGACCAAUAUCGGCACCACCAUAAACCACGCAAGGACGAACUCUAGAUCGGUAUGAAAACUAUAAGCAAAAAAAAUGUUAUGAACUUCAAGGUCAAAAUUUUUACAUGUUCAUAAAACAUUUAAUUAGAAUCAAUGAAAAAGCUAAUAAUCACUGGAACUCAUACUUACUUUUCUGGCUUCCUCGUAGAUCUGUACUGCCAACUCUCUCGUUGGUGCUAAUACCAAGGAGAUUGGGUAUUGUUUGCGGCGCCCAUACCUUCCAUUUUCCUAAGAAAUAAGUUAAUUUUUAAGUUAACUCUACCUACCCUGUUUGAAAAGUUCAUCACAACAUAAUUCCCUUUUGUAAUUUAUAGAUUACAGAUUACACUUGAAAACUGGUUUUCAUUCUACUUAAGUCUUAGCAUCAUUUAGAAAGCCCUCUCAAUGGCCACCUACAAAGUUCUACAAUUUCCCAUUUUAUAAAGAAACAUCUACCUUCAUGGCCCUCAAAGCCUCGCCUGGACCAUCUGAAUAAAUCUGACUCAAGAUGGGCAACAGAAAUGCUGCAGUUUUUCCAGACCCUGUUCAAAAACAAACAAACAAAUCCUGCUCAUUACUUUUAAACAGACAUUGGUAGAUGACAGUGUUUUUUAACUACCCUAUUACUAAUAAUUAGUACUUUUAGUUUAUGCUUAAGUUUUCCAAAAAGUGGCUUCUCUGCUCCACCUCUAAGAGGAGUCAGCAAACUGAGACUAUUUUGUAAAUAAAGCCUGUUAUUUUUAUAAAUAAAGCUCUUACGGAAUACAGCCGUAACCAAUAAUUUAUGUAUCAUCUAUGGCUUCUUUCACAGUCCAAUAGCAGCGCAGAGCAGCUGCAAAACUGCAUGACCCAUAAAAAAUAAAAUAUUUUAUUGUCUAGUCCUUUACAGAAGAAAUAUGAUGUUUUACUCUUAUGAGUUGAGCUUACCUGUUUGGGCACAAGCCAUCAAGUCUCUUUUCUCUUUGAUAAUAGGAAUAGCAUGCUUUUGCACUGGAGUUGGGCGAGUAUAACGAGUAAGCUCAAUGUUUCCCAUGAUAAUUUCUCCCAUCUCAACAUCACUGAACUGUUAAGAAAUUCAAUGGGGUUAGGAAUGCUAUCUAGAGCUAUUUCUGUUUUAUACUAAUAAUGGAAACAACCAACCAACAGCUGAUUGGUAACUCAGUUUAUAGUUUAAGUAAAAUUAUCACAUUAUACUUUGAGAAAAACCAACCCCCAGGCUUACUGCACAUUGGAGAAGACUUUGGGUUGUUCCUAUGUUUGACCCAUUUUCUAUUUUAGGUAAUAAAUUAUUCAUAAUGGUGACACUGAACUCAACUUCUCCUUUUCCACAAAUCUAUGAAGCCUCUGGUCUACAUGACUUUAUGAAGCCCAUCUCACAUUCUAAUGUAACAUGAAAACAUUUAACCUCUCUGUGUCUUAAAAAGUCAAGCAAAAAUACUCACACUUUCAAUAUGUGGAGGACAGUUGUUGCCUGUUGCCUCAACUGGAAUGUCAUCGUAUUUCUCAAAAUUAAUCCCAGUGUUGCCUCCAGAAAAGAGUUCCCUCAAAUCAAAAAAUGGAUAAGUUCAUUUGUUAUACUAGCUAGUAAGGCUUCAUCACAAGUAACAUACACUUCAAAAACUUACUGUUCCAAGCGUUCACUUGGUGGGAGUGGUUUUGACCAAUCAUCUUCAUCUGAUUUGUCACACCAGCGACUGUUUCCACCACGUUCAAAUUUGCCAAAGCCACUUCUGUCACCACGGCUGCCAAUGCCAUCGUAAUCACUCCGUCCACGAUCAUCAAACCUGAACAGCACAAGCAAUUAAUCAGAAUCAUAUCAUUUAACCAUUAUCAGAUUCUUAUCCCUACUCUAGAACUGUAUCUGGAGACUUAAGUUAUGGCUAACCAUAAGGAUGUCAACAAUCCAAUUCUGAGUUACUUGACAAAUAAGGCUCUCUAACCAGCAUCAUUUACAUAACCUCGUUUUCUAAAAUCAGUAAUCUUUACAUUUCUAUAAAGUUGUAUAGCCUAAAAGGCCUCACAGAUGCCAAAAUUAAGAAUAAGGAUUUUAUUUGAAAUCGGCACACAGCUCACAACCUUCAUUUAAAGUGCUCAUCCAAAUAUAUUUAAUGGUAGGGAAAACAAGAAAAUAGCACACCAAAUAUCAAUCGUCCUAGUUAUACUAGGAUGUCACUUAAAGGACAAUUCACCUGUGUGACAGACUUUGGAUAAAAGGUAGAAAAUAAUCCUUACCUGAACUAAGAUGUUUUUAAGAGUUUUAGGCCUGUUUGCGAAAAAUCAGGACACAGGACUAACCACAGCUAUUAGGCACGUGGGGUCAGUUCACCACACUUGUGUAAUCAAAAAUACAAGGUGUUUAGAAAUUGUUAUAGAGUCCACAAAAAUCCCAACCAAAUUAGGCCAUUCACUAGAUGAACUUACUCUUUUAAGUAGAACAUAUAAAACUCGAGAAAUAGAAUAACUCAUUUCAUUAUGCCAAUGAGCAUAUUCCUAUUUUCAUCUAAUUUCUAAGUAACAGGUUCAAUUUAGUAAAAGCCUCUUACGGCUAAGAAAAUACAAUGACCAAACAGACAUAAUGCUUAACAUCCAAACAGGUGGUCAGGAUAACGACUUAUUAAACUGUUAUUAUACAUACACGUAAGGUGAUUAAGAAAUCACUUACCUUCCCCUUGAUCCACUUCCACGAUCACUGAAGAAGCUAGACUUCCCUCUUGAAUCACUACGAGAUCCAAAACUGCUAUACGCAUCCUUAUCUUUGCUAGAACUCCACCCUGAACUGUCUUUAUCGUAGAAACCUUUGAUUAAAAAAGCACAAAUACAUUUUAUUAUUAAUUAGAAAUAGGAACCAUGUUAAGGUAUUAUCAAUCUUUCUGAAUUUGAAAGCCUCCACUGACUAUCCCUACCAUGGCACUGUAAGAGAACCAAGAUUUAAAGCUGGUUUACACCCGGACAAAGUUUUUCUUUAAUUCUCCCCACUAGAAAAUACUGUCCACUGGCCAGGCAUGGUGGCUCACGCCUGUAAUCCCAGCACUUUGGGAGGCCAAGGCGGGCAGGUCACCUGAGGUCAGGAGUUCGAGACUAGCCUGACCAACAUGGAGAAACCCCGUCUCUACUACAUAUACAAUAUUAGCCAGGCGUGGUGGCCCACGUCUGUAAUCCCAGCUACUCAGGAGGCUGAGGCAGGAGAAUCACUUGAACCCGGGAGGCUGAGGUUGCAGUGAGCCAAGAUUGCGCCACUGCACUCCAGCACGGGAAACAAGAGUGAAACACCCUUGUCUCAAAAAAAAAAAAAUUACUUUACACUAAAUCAAGCAAUCUGACAGUCUAAGAAUGUUUCUCAAUGAAUACUACCUCUAAGUGGUCAACAGCUUUGCCUGUAACGCAUUAUGACGUUGUGUGACCAUAACAAUUUAAUUUCCAUUCAUUUUAUAGGUGUGAAUGAGUUUACUAGGAAAAACAGUUACCAUUGUUUCCAUGUUUCUUGGAGGUGGUAUUCAUUUAGAACAUUCAUAGACUGUCAGAUUACUUGGUUUAAUACAGUAUUUUUCAGUUUCAAUAGUAUAAAGUACAAGAACACUAAUGUCAAAUUGUAGUAUUAUUUUAGUGGUUCAUCUACUAUAAGCUUGAUGACAAUCAGGAAUACCUGGGAAAAAGAAAAACCCUCAUCACUAUAUAUUCUCAGUAUAGACAAGGUUCCUGGGUACAGCUAUAAAUAUCCAGGUAAGGGGAUGACAAACAUGUAAAUUAACCCAAAGACAGGUAGAGGGUUUAAAGACAGGUAGAGGGUUUAACUAGCUUCAGCAACACCUUAUUAAACAGAAACAGCUUCUCAAUUCAGUUACUUUCCUUCUGCCUUCUACCUCCUACCGUUAGGCCAGUCAGGUGACCAACAGCCUUUGCUAGCAAGAAAGAGUUAAGUUAGAUUGCCAGAUCUCUACCAGCUCUAAAACCUCUAUGAUACUGCCAUAUACACGAGGGUCAAUUCUAGCUAGUAUACUAGGAAUAUUGAGAACAUCCAUGAUGAUAAAGACAAAUUCCAAAGUAACCUCCCCUAAAAAGAAUAUAAUGCCAGCCAGGCAUGGUGGCUCACGCCUGUAAUCCCAGCACUUUGGGAGGCUGAGGCGGGUGGAUCACUUGAGGUCAGGAGUUCGAGACCAGCCUAGGCAACAAGGCAAAACCCCGUCUCUACUAAAUAUACAAAAAUUAGCCGGGCAUGGUGGCACAUGCCUGUGAUCCCAGCUACUUGGGAGGCUGAGGCAGGAGAAUCACUUGAACCCAGGAGGCGGAGGUUGCAGUGAGCCCGCGCUACUGCACUCCAGCCUCCGCAGCAGAGCAAGGCUCCGUCUCAAAAAAAAAAAAAAAAAAAAAAAGCCAAAGUGAUCUUCUGGUAGAAAUAAUACAGAUUUUAUAUCCAUGCAUUGCCAGGACAGUGAAGGUAAUACAGACUACAUAUGGAGAUGGAGGAACAGCAGCAAACCAUGUGCUCCCCUGUGGACUCUCCACUCUUCCUAUCUGCCUUCUUUAUACAGUAUCUUCCCUCCUAAUCUUUGGUUUUCCUGACUUUCCCUUUUCCUCCAAAUUUUGGAUGGUCUAUUUUACAGAAUAUAAAGCACCCGAACAGCUGUCUCAUAAUAUGAAACAUAUACUAGCUGUCAUCUAUCACUACGUUACAAUUACAAUGGGAAAAGACACCAGAUAUUGUAAUACAUUUUGGACAAAACCUUUCAAAAGCAGCAAGGCAAGGAGAUGAAACCAGAGAAUCACUUCCAACGCUGUAACUUGUUAACUGUUCUACAAUAAGCCCAUCUUCAUUUCUAGCAACUUUGCCAAGACAGAAAUAACCAGGUUGUUAUCAUUAUACAGCUUGGUUUACACAGUAGGGCACCCACCUCUUCCAAACUAAAACCAUGCUGUGAAUGAUUACAAACAGAUUCAGCACAACACUAGUGAAACUGUACAAAACCAUGCCCUUGGCGUCAGAACAGUUUGACAUAGGAAUGCCGAAUUUCCCACUGCGUAACAUUAGAUGAGUUCUUCCAAAAUUAUUAAGCUCUAGUAUUUGAACCAAGGCUGACAGAAGCAUAGAAAAACAACACCAUGUUUAGACCUCCCCCAAAUGCCUGGUUUUCCUUAGGCUUUACUAACUUCUAAAGGAGGCAAAAAAUAGACCUACGAAGUUACUUGUGAGGACCUACCUUUAGUAGCUUCUCGGUUCCUUAAAUGAGGAGGAAUAUAGCGCCCUUCUAAAAAAAUAUAUAUAUAUAUAAAAUUAAUUAAAUGCCAAAAAACCUUCCCAUUUAAAUUUCUGUUACUAAAAAAUGGUUCUGGGAAAUUAAAAUCUCCAGCCUUCCAAUCUGAUUACUUACCUGGACACUGAGAGGGGGGAAAAAUAAGAAUCUAAUUUUAAAUGGGUUACUGCUUCAUAAGGAGAACUCUGAAAGGAGUUUGAUAAAAAAAAGCUGAUUUGGAACCUAAUAGUUGAAAUCCACAAAUUGAGCACAUUUAGCCACCAGUGGUCAUUUAAUGUGAUUUUUUUAAAGGCCUGCUAGAUUUAAGAGAACUGUCAUCAAAACUGUCAACAAAAGCAUUAAGUAUUACUGUAACAAUUUAAGAUUACUCAUGUAACAUAUCUCACAAUCUUUUGUUUCUAUGCCAGUAAGUUGCAAAACAUACAAUAAAUAAACAAGGAAAAGCUGCAAAGGGGAGUUAAUUUCAAGGAAUUGCAGGUUUUAAUUUGGGGCUUGCUGAGUUUAAGGAAAGUUGACAGUUGCUCUGUAUGCGAGCAGGAGUACAGCCUAGAAUAUGGAUAAGCAAAAAAAACAACAUAAAGCCAAAUAAAUUUGCUUUAUAACUAGUAAACGUGUCAU